This 583-nucleotide ribosomal RNA is filed under the name uncultured Ilyonectria. RNAcentral describes it as "eukaryotic LSU rRNA". The stretch from base 207 to 360 matches the Rfam family "5.8S ribosomal RNA". Lineage: Eukaryota; Fungi; Ascomycota; Sordariomycetes; Hypocreales; Nectriaceae. The record is from RNAcentral.
CUUGGUCAUUUAGAGGAAGUAAAAGUCGUAACAAGGUCUCCGUUGGUGAACCAGCGGAGGGAUCAUUACCGAGUUUACAACUCCCAAACCCCUGUGAACAUACCUAUUUGUUGCCUCGGCGGUGCCUGUUCCGACAGCCCGCCAGAGGACCCCAAACCCUGAUUACAUUUAAGAAGUCUUCUGAGUAAACCGAUUAAAUAAAUCAAAACUUUCAACAACGGAUCUCUUGGUUCUGGCAUCGAUGAAGAACGCAGCGAAAUGCGAUAAGUAAUGUGAAUUGCAGAAUUCAGUGAAUCAUCGAAUCUUUGAACGCACAUUGCGCCCGCUAGUAUUCUGGCGGGCAUGCCUGUCCGAGCGUCAUUUCAACCCUCAAGCCCCCGGGCUUGGUGUUGGGGAUCGGCGAGCCUCCGCGCCCGCCGUCCCCUAAAUCUAGUGGCGGUCUCGCUGUAGCUUCCUCUGCGUAGUAGCACACCUCGCACUGGGAAACAGCGCGGCCACGCCGUUAAACCCCCAACUUCUGAACGUUUGACCUCGGAUCUGGUAGGAAUACCCGCUGAACUUAAGCAUAUCAAUAAGCGGAGGA